RNAcentral lists this transfer RNA (74 nucleotides) under Chelonia mydas (Green sea turtle). It matches the Rfam family "tRNA". Rfam says of the family: Transfer RNA (tRNA) molecules are approximately 80 nucleotides in length. Their secondary structure includes four short double-helical elements and three loops (D, anti-codon, and T loops). Further hydrogen bonds mediate the characteristic L-shaped molecular structure. tRNAs have two regions of fundamental functional importance: the anti-codon, which is responsible for specific mRNA codon recognition, and the 3' end, to which the tRNAs corresponding amino acid is attached (by aminoacyl-tRNA synthetases). tRNAs cope with the degeneracy of the genetic code in two manners: having more than one tRNA (with a specific anti-codon) for a particular amino acid; and 'wobble' base-pairing, i.e. permitting non-standard base-pairing at the 3rd anti-codon position. The record is from Rfam by way of RNAcentral. Lineage: Eukaryota; Metazoa; Chordata; Testudines; Cheloniidae.
CUCUCUGUGGUACAAGGGGUCAGUGCAUUCAACUGUAAAUCAGGAGAAUGGCGGUUCAAGUCCCCCCAGGGAAA